AACCAAUUGAUUAGAUACAAGUUUACAAAAUUGUCUUAACCAGAAAUGUCUCAUUGUUCAUUAUUUGUCGCAGUUAUAGUGUAACCAUUAUCUAAGAAUGUGGAAUUCGAUCGCUCUCAGUAUAUUUCUUUUAUCAUCCACUGUUUUCUCUGGCAAAGUGCCCAGUGACAUUUCCAAUGAUUGGACGAAAUCGGUAAAUAAGGUAAAAAUGGAAUGUUUAGAACAAGGGAACACUACCGUGGAAGCUGUUGACGCAAUGCUUGAAACAUGGAACAUACCCGAAUCGCUUAAUUGUUUUAUGACAUGCGUGUAUGAAAAAAAUGGAUAUAUAGAUAAAGAUGGAAAUUUUACUAAAGUACUCCUUCACCAUAAGGGUGUAGCCCAGGAAAAUCUGCAACGAUGUGCAAAUGCAGUUGAAGCUUACACAAACGAAAGUUGUAAUAGAGUAUAUUAUUUUUGCACAUGUAUGGUCUCUUCAGUAUCCAUCAACGAAGUUUGAAUAUACCAACAUAUACAGCUUACAAAUACCUAUGUUGGCUUAAUAAUAUUAAGUAAUAUAAUAUUUCAUUCCUUCAAGAUGAAUAAAAUAAUCAGAAACA
Photinus pyralis (common eastern firefly) is the source of this 599-nucleotide long non-coding RNA. RefSeq lists it as uncharacterized. The transcript is spliced from 2 exons. The record is from RefSeq and is a predicted model, not a curated record. Lineage: Eukaryota; Metazoa; Arthropoda; Insecta; Coleoptera; Lampyridae.